This 456-nucleotide ribosomal RNA is filed under the name Triticum aestivum (bread wheat). RNAcentral describes it as "partial small subunit ribosomal RNA". The record is from RNAcentral. Lineage: Eukaryota; Viridiplantae; Streptophyta; Magnoliopsida; Poales; Poaceae.
AUGGAAAUGCCAUUCAUCUCAGUUUUUCAAUGUGCACUAGCUGGGCUGACUCAAAGACACGCAGAAUGUUUGGAUUGUAAAUCUGGGCCCUUACAUACAUUCUAUGUGAUAAACGUCAAUUGUACAAGUAAACAACUUAUUCAGGUAGCUAAUACUACCGAAACAACGGCACUGCUUCUGAGAUAUGCAUCCUUGAUUCCAUGUAGCUUAGCAGCCACCUCCUGCAUGUUGAUGCGUUCGCCCGGGGAUGUCUUAGUGCAGCAAAGGCCAACAUUUAGCACAGAUAACAGACAAUGUGAGUGUUUUUCCUUGAAGGCUAUUGGAGUUUCAUCCAACUCUUUUAGCAGCUGGGGGUCGACAAUCUCAAAUACCCUGUCAGGGAAACUUGGCCUCCGUAAGCUUCACAAUGCUGAGUCCAUCCUUAAACAUGUCGCCAGUUUCAUCUUCACUGCUUAA